UACGUAGGGGGCAAGCGUUGUCCGGAAUUAUUGGGCGUAAAGCGCGUGUAGGCGGUCCGGUAAGUCGGUUGUGAAAGUCCAGGGCUCAACCCUGGGAUGCCGACCGAUACUGUCGGACUAGAGUUCGGAAGAGGCGAGUGGAAUUCCCGGUGUAGCGGUGAAAUGCGCAGAUAUCGGGAGGAACACCAAUGGCGAAGGCAGCUCGCUGGGACGUUACUGACGCUGAGACGCGAAAGCAUGGGGAGCGAACAGG
Molecule: ribosomal RNA, 253 nt
Filed under: uncultured bacterium
Lineage: Bacteria
Description: partial 16S ribosomal RNA
Rfam family: Bacterial small subunit ribosomal RNA
Source: RNAcentral